GGCCGCCUGACCUAUUCCCAACCUUAGUGGUAAUGCACUUUCUUGCUAAGAUAUCGAAAUGAAUUGGAAUGAGGUGUCAUUCGCGCAAAGCUUCUAAUUUUCUUGGUAAAGAAAUACAAUAAUUUUUAGAAGAAAAAUGGUGUCACGCACUUAUCCUUAUUAAGUGUUUUUAUUAAUUUCAUGCAAGAAUAACAUUGUUAACACACCAAAUAAGUGUUUAAAGAAUAAAGUAAAACUCUACAAUGGUAGAUAAACAGUGUAGUAACAUAGUGAUGUCAUUUUAUAGAGUUGUGAAAUUUCAAAAUGAUUUUACGCCGCAACAAUUGUAUUGUGUAUCGCAAAAACCACAAUAACCACAAUCGCAACAACCGCAAUCAUUACCGCAUCCGUGACCGCAACCGCAAUUUAAAACUUACUGUAAAAGACAAAGUGACCAUGACAGAAUGAUAAAGAAAAAAUAUUGAAUAUUAUAGACCGACUUGGAUUAGAUAAGCGAAGAGUAAUUUUUAUGCAGAUAAACCAAAAGUAUAGAAGUGAAUAAUUAUUAAUUCGUAUAGAAGUGAAUUGAUAAGCCAAGAGUAUAGAAGUGAAUUAUUAAUUCGUAUAGAAGUGAAUUGAUAAGCCAAAAGUAGUUUUUAUGCAGAUAAUUAUAGAAGUGAAUCUGUUGAAAUAUGAUGCACAUUUUUAGAUAUUUCUAGAAUACAUUAGUAGUUUAUAGAAUAACUUAGCAUUGGUGCACAUGCUAGAAUUUUCUAGAACUAGAACACUUUAGAAGUUGAUCAUAGAAUAGAUCAAUACCAUAUAUGUAUUAAGAAAAUGUCAUGAAAAUUCUAGAAUGCAGUAUCUAGAAUAUACCACUCAUACCUAUAAAUAGGUAAACUAUGUACAAUUGUAUUGAAGCCUUUGGAAUGCAAUAUCAAUAACAUUAAGACUUAAAUAUACUACUCUCCUCCUACAAUAAGUUGACUACUACUGUGUUACAUCUUGUUCCAAUAUUAGCUUUCACACUACUUGUUACUAUCUUUCAACUAUCAACUAAAAUCUUCUACUCUAUGAAACUAUUUCCUAACUAUCACUACUACCUCAACUACUAAUAGUGGUAUCAGAGCUGCGUUCGGUCAUUCACCGGGCGUAGCAAACUAUUUUUUCUUGCCACCAACUAUUUGUUUAAACUAGAAAACAGGAUCUAUGACUCAAACACAAAAGGAGUACAGGUAGCCACACGACUCGACUCUGUUUGAGUUCAAACCCAAAACUAAAAAUGAGAUAGAGGAGUUCAAGUAGCCUAACAGCUCGACCCUCUUAAGUUCAUGUCCAACUAAUGUCAAUCCUUUGGCAAAUAAAGCUCAAGUUCAGAUAGAGCACAAGCACAGACGAUAAAUACAAAUGGAGACUUAUUGCCUCUGAGGCUCAACUUGAGUACAAGG
RNAcentral lists this long non-coding RNA (1427 nucleotides) under Trifolium pratense (red clover). RNAcentral's name for it is "long non-coding RNA (TPRA_LNC013766)". The record is from RNAcentral. Lineage: Eukaryota; Viridiplantae; Streptophyta; Magnoliopsida; Fabales; Fabaceae.